UAUGUUAUAAUAUUAUUGUCGUUUAUUUGAAUUUCAAAAAAAAAAAAAAAAAAACAAACAAAUUAUUAAAACUACGUGGUACGCGCAAAUACGUCACGAUAAUGGCUAAUUUUAUAUUUGGUAUGUAUCGUAUAAUAAUCAUAAUAUUAUAAUAUCGCGCUCUCACAGACGAAGCCCCGUCGAGUGUACAAAAAUGAUAGUAGUUUUUUUUUUUUUUUUUUUCUAUGAUAAUUAUUUCACAAGCAAACACUAUAUAAUAAUAUUAUAAUAAAACAGGCAAUAGACAAUAUAGGUUUUACAGUGUUCGCGGGUGGUUACUUUAACGUACACAAUAAUAUAAUAAAAUAUAAUAUAAUAUAAUAUAAUAUAAAAGGGUAUUAUACGCGAUAAAUCUUAAAUUAUUGAAAAGUUCUGUACCCGCUAUAAAUAACAUAAUGUAUAUACUAUAAAUUGUAGACUACAUAAUAUAAUAACAUUGUAACAAUAUAAUAAUAUGUUUUGUACGGUCGAUAAAAAAUACAAAUAAAAACUAUUAUAAACGUAUACUGACUUUUUUCUUAUUAUUUUUUCUAAUCAUAAUCGACAAUCGAAACGCAUUGCAAUAAUACAAUAUUAUUGUGGCCGAAUAACGACGCGCUCUUGCGAUAAUCACAGGCAAUACAAAUAAUAAUUGUUGUCAUCGGUUACUGCGAUUUCACUUGCAGGGUUCGUUAAUAUCAUUGUAGAUUCAUAUAUGUGUAUACGGAUGUUAUAUGAAUAAUACUAUUAGUAUUGGUUAUCGGCAUCGCCAUAAAUCAGAAAAAGCGUGAAUAAUACAUUGCCUAUGGUUCACCAGCAAAAAGUUAACUCUCUUAUACGGGAGCUAUCUCGGAAACUCACGCUCGUAUAGGUAUGGGGCGAUAUUUAAACAAGACAUUAAUAUAAACGAUACUGAACGGAACGUUGCAUAAUUGAAAUUUAAAUUAAAAUAAUAUUUACGUAUAUUUAAAAAAAAAAAAAAAAAAAUGAAAAAGGUACCCGUAGGCGGGUCACGAAACAAACGAAGUAAAAUAUAUUUAUGCAACAAACGUCGUAUAAAACGAUAAUUCGUAAUGAUAAAGGAAGUGACAAACUUAACGCUAUAAUGUCUACGGAUAUGGAUUGUAGGUUGUGGGUUGAUAAUAUGCGAGAUCGUAUUAUAAAAUAGGAUGAUAUGGACGAUGUGGUCGAGUGAUAUGAUGAAACGGCAGGUGUACCUAGUCCGGCGGGUAUUGUAGGGAUAGAAUAAUGUAAAACAAUAUCAUUCGGGCGGGUUAUAGGUUGUAAUAGAUGCGGGCGGGCCGCGUUUAGGCGUAUGAGAAAUAACAACAAUAAUUUAUUGACGUUGUCAAAACGUCCGGUCGAUAUUAUUAUUAUUAUUCGAGUGUUGCGAAAUUUCGAUCGAUCAAAAAGCACGCGAAAUCGCGCGAUUUUUAAACACCAAUAACCAAUCUUAUUAUAUUUCAAAAUUUGAAUCGGCUUAUAUUAUUAUUGUUAAAAAAUUAUCGUUGUCGUAUUAUAUUUGAAUGUCUACGUUAUUAGUGUUCAUACUCGAAAAAGAAUUAUUACGAUAAAUUAUAAUAAUUAAUUGAAAUAUUAAGCAAAGUACUUAUAGACUAUUUGAAUAAUCGUAUAUAAUUUGGGUUUUUUUAUUUUUUUUUUUAUUAUUAUUAUUAUUUUAAAUUAUCAAUUACAUUAAAAAUUUGAUCAAGUAUAUUAUUGUCGAAAUGUAUGCGAAUCACGCGAGAAUAUCGUAAUAUAGAGUUUUUAGUUAGAUUAAUAUUGAUAACUCCAAGCGGCUCGUGUCUCGGUCAUGUUAAAAGUCGAUUUGAAAACGCAGUUAAUUGUUUAGCUUAAACUAACGUUUUGUAAAACUGUCAUUUUUUUUUUUUUUUUAUUAUUAUUAUUAUUGUCUCGGCGAAAAUAUUUAUACCUAGCCGGAUGGCAUACCUAUUAUGUAGAGUUCGCAGUAUUUUAAAUAAUAAUGUUCGUCCCGGAAAUAUGGUAUUAAAUUCGCUUUGAACCGGGAACAAUAACGCACAACUAAUGUACACCUACCCACGCUCCUCGUUAUUGUGCGGGGAAACGCGUGCACCGGCGUAAUAUUUACGCGCAACGACGGUACCUAUUGAAAAUCCAUAAAGUGUACAGAUCGUAUACGUUUUACGUUGGAACGGAAAAUCAAUUGAAAACGGCGCGGUUGUGAACGAAAACGCGGACCCGUCGUUCGCCGUGUCCGGCGCGUUUCUCCGGUAUCCGAUUGGACUCGAAACGUUUGGUGUUGUGGCGCCGAACGGCGGUUAACA
This 2324-nucleotide long non-coding RNA is filed under the name Cinara cedri. The record is from RNAcentral. Lineage: Eukaryota; Metazoa; Arthropoda; Insecta; Hemiptera; Aphididae.